RNAcentral lists this transfer RNA (73 nucleotides) under Cyanobacteria bacterium UBA8543. RNAcentral's name for it is "tRNA-Thr". It matches the Rfam family "tRNA". Rfam says of the family: Transfer RNA (tRNA) molecules are approximately 80 nucleotides in length. Lineage: Bacteria; Bacillati; Cyanobacteriota. RNAcentral also lists the same sequence under 1 other name. The record is from RNAcentral.
AGCGGGAUAGAGCAGUCUGGUAGCUCAUUAGGCUCGUAGUCUGAAGGCAGUGGUUCAAAUCCACUUCCUGCUU